Molecule: non-coding RNA, 1760 nt
Organism: Pogona vitticeps (central bearded dragon)
Lineage: Eukaryota; Metazoa; Chordata; Lepidosauria; Squamata; Agamidae
Source: RefSeq, a predicted model, not a curated record
UCUUUUUCUCCCGCGCAGUGCUCAGAGCAAAUGCAGUGGAAAGAAGCUCUUGGUCUCUGCUCCUUUUGGUGCCUCAGCCACUGGGAGAUCUGUAAGCAAGUAACGACCCUUUGUUCCUUUGCACGGAGCAGAUCCUGUUUGUCUGACUAGAAAGCAGAGAUUCACAUGCGGAUUGGAACUCCGGCGCUCCCCUCCUCUUCCUCUGAUGAUCACUUCUUCCCCAGUUCUCCUCCUUUCAGGCAAAGAAGUGGCUGCUGUCCAGACUUUCAUGUGAAGAGGCUAAUCCUGGGGGGGGCUUCUUCAUCUAAACACAGCCGAUUUUUAAACCGUUCGUAGCGGGUGGGGGCUGAUUCCGCUUUGGAGACAGCUUCUCCAUUUAAAAAAAAUCAUGACUGUCUUCUCCUUCCAGGACCGCUGUUAAAGGCUGUUCUGCAUUUCUUACUUCUUGCAUCGAGUGGGUGUCUAGAUAGCCGGCCCAAACAGGCCUUGAGGUUUAUCCUAUCCACUGGCAUGCUGGUGGGAAAGGAUUCCCACCCACCCCCUGUAAUGGGAUACUUAGAAAGUCAUCACUGGGUAAUUGGCUUAAUGACUGCCCCUUGCAAGAAGACUUUAAUGGCUUUGGUAAACUAUCCUUAAUUUAUCCAGCUCAUGUGGCUUUCUCAAUAGCAGCUGCUGCCAGCUGUGGCCUGUCCAGGGCCUGGGGGACCACAGCAAGGUGAACCAAAACUAACCAUUUACAGCUGAUAUGGAUCUUUCUCUGCCCAUAAACAAAAUGAAUGUUCUCAGCUCCUUCCACAAAAGCACAGAUAGAUCUGGCUUUUAAGGACAACGAGUCAUCGCAGAGCUUUUUAAAACGUUCAUGUUUUGGAUCACAGCUCCUGGGACUCCACAGCCCCGCUGAUUGCAGGACGCUGGGAAUCGUAGUCCUCCUUCAAGGUGUGCCGGCUCAGCAGAAGAAUAUGGAGGGUCACGUUCCACCUUGCUAUCGGCCAGACUUGAAUAAAUCACCUUGGCAGCCCUAGCUAGGCAGAAAGAAAGCAGGGCUGUUUUUUUGGCAACUGUGAUAAUGAGGAAGGGGAGGCAGCCAGAAGAGAAAACAGCCUGAAAUGAUAUUGAUUUGCAAGAUCUGAGCAGAGCUGUUGACGAGAAGACAUUUUCGAGAUCAUAAACUCAUAUAGUUCCCACAUAUCGGAAGUGACUUGAUGGCACAUAACAUCUCUGGACAUCUUUCCUUAAUUACCAAACAAUUGUAUAGUGACAAGAAUGGUUGAGACUGUGACAGGAUAUAGGCACCCAAGCCCUGACAACACCGAGUAAGACCCUCCUCAGCUACAGAGCAAAAAGCAGUAAUUGAGUGAGUUUCUGAACAUUUGUUCUAUAUUCGUUUUUACAAUGUUUUCUAAAAUAUUUUUGCAACCAGACACAGAAUCCCUUUUUCUGCACGGAUCCCUGAUUAACAUUUCUUCACACCAUGGAUCAUUAAACAUAUGGUUUUGGCUGCCACCAGGAUGGCCAUGAACUCCGGCGGCCUUAAAAACUUGAGAGUCAUCGAAGACCAGUGAGCCAAAGCUGCUGUAUGGAACCUCCAUGUGCUGAAGCAGCCUAUCUUUGACUAUGUUGGGGAAGGAGCCGGGGGGGGGGGACAAACCAGAGAAGAUUUUACUCUGAUAUCAGUUUUAGGGAUCUUCCCAGGUUCUAAUCAGAGGCUGGAAGUCAUGAGUCUCCAAGUAAUAAAGCUAUCAUGAAUUACUUACUAAAGA